GUUGGCGGCCAUAGCGGAGGGGCUCACCCGUUCCCAUCUCGAACACGGAAGUUAAGCCCUCCAGCGACUUGAGCUGUACUGUCUUUCGACGGAAACCUCAUGACGCUGCCACUU
RNAcentral lists this ribosomal RNA (114 nucleotides) under archaeon. The record is from RNAcentral.